This is a non-coding RNA of Cucurbita pepo subsp. pepo (vegetable marrow), 3057 nucleotides long. The record is from RefSeq and is a predicted model, not a curated record. NCBI's taxonomy places the organism in Eukaryota, Viridiplantae, Streptophyta, Magnoliopsida, Cucurbitales, Cucurbitaceae.
AAACUUUAGAUACACAAAUAAGGCGUCUUGCUUCCCUCAUCGUCGUCUCGGAGCCUUGGUUUCCCGCGAAACCCGAUUCUUACUAGCAGUCCCGGACGAAUUAUCGCCCAUCCAUGGAAUCACUUCGAGCUUCCAAAGAGGCCGAUUGAAAUCCUCGUUUCAGAGUAGCCAUCGCGGGACAUGAACAACGAUCGAUGCGUAAUAUGAAGAAAAAAGAGAAGAAGAGUGCAUACGAAUACUGCCUCGUCUGCAAACUAAACCACGAUCAAGGGCAGCGCCAUAAGUAUUUUCCCAAUCACAAAAAAUCUCUUUCUGCUUUUCUAUCUCGGUUCGAGAUCAAGCUGUCCGACGUUCGCUUCUUUCUCAAUACCCCUUUUCGCCUCACGCCCGAGUAUGCUUCUCACAAUCGGUUCUGGUGCAUCUUUUGCAAUGUUGAAGUCGAUGAGAAUGAUAGUUCGUUCGCAUGUAGCAACGCAAUUAAACACCUAGCCAGUGCGGAUCAUCUGAAGAAUUUGAAGCAUUUCUUAUGGAAGUAUGGUGGUGAUAUGGAACGUUUGAAUAAUUAUAGAAUUUUAGAAGCUGAUGAAGCUAAGUGGGAGAAGAAGUGCAAAGUACAAAGCGUAGCUGCUUCAUCCAGUCUUGGACCUGCAAAUGAUAUCCACAAUCAAGUCCAAUAUGGAAAAUUUGAUAAUUUUGGGAAUAAUAAUAUCCACUCUGUUGAAUCUAGUUCGUCAAUUAGUGUUUUGCCUUUACAAAGUUAUACAAAUGAGUAUCAGGUAUCCAAUUCAUCCUAUUCAGGAUCCUCUGAUGUUUCGAAUUUGGUCUCAUUGCCACACAAUACCACUUCUUCUUUGCAUGCUGGUUCAUGUUCUGGUGCACAUGUAUGGAGCCCAAAGAAUUUACCAUUGAACGAGGACAACAAGCAUUACCAUCUGAAUAGUGGUAGAACGUGUACUGCUAAUGGUCAUUUUAGUGGUCAGGGGAUGUCCGGGAUGCAUCAGAGUGAAAGAACUUUGAAUGAAGAAAGCCAUCCUGAGGGUUUUCAGACCCUCACUCGGAUUUCUAAUAUUGUUUCUGGAGAUUCCGGAGGAAAUGUUCAGUCUGGGAUGUUGCCUCCUUGGCUUGAAAACCAUGAAGAUAGUGGGUUUAAGGUUCAAAUAAGACCAGUGGUUGGGGGUGGCGUUUCUUCCUUGAAUGAAUCUGCAAAGUCCAAGAAACUGAACCCCAAACGGGUAGGAGCUGCAUGGGCUGAAAAAAGAAAGUUGGAGAUGGAAAUGGAGAAGAGAGGAGAAAUUGUCCAAAGCUAUCGUGACGAGAAUUGGCUUCCUAAUUUUGGUAGGGUAUGGCAAUCUGGUAGCCGUAAAGAAUCUAGAAAAGAAUUUGAGAAGGAGAAAUCAAAAUUCCUGAUGGUUGAAAAUCCACCUGAACCAAAUGUCGAUAUUCAGCCAUACAUUAGCAAACGGAUGUGGCCAAGCAGCUGUUCCAUCUUUUUUCCCGUAGCUGCCAAGAAAGGUUCACAAAGGACUGAUUGCAUGUAUGUUUCUCUGUACCUUCAUCUCAGAACAAAAGUGAGCUCAUUAUUGGAUCAAAAUGCUUUUGUCAGGGCAGAAUCUGGUAGAAUUUUUCUCAUUUCUAAUCCUGAAAAUCCAGAGUUUCCCUUUAGAGGAAAUCAAGUUUUCAUCACAAAGGAACUCCCAAGAAUACCACUUUUCGAUCAUACGAUCUAUAUCGUGUACAACUACAUCAGUGGUGUUCCCUUCUCUUGCUAUGAUAGCAGCACUGUAAAUUGUUGCCAUUCUUCCUGGUGCAAGAGGACUAUCUCCUCUCGGUCCAUCCACGACCACCACAUCCCAUUUUACUUCAUAAACUUCUCUUGGAAGAUCUGUCAACGCAAGUUGGCAUCUGGAUGAAUUCCUGAGGCCCGAGUUUGGUGCACAUGAUUUGUUUCCUCUGGCAUGUUUUAACAACUUGUAAGCUUUUUCUGCAUGAAGCUUGUAAUCAACUUUGUACAUCCGGGUGUGAUUUGAAUUGACUUUGAAUAUGCUCAGUUUGUAGGGAUCGUCCUCCAGAAAAACAUUCUUUCCACCAGGAUUGACUGCUGAGAGGUUAAGGUACUGUGAUUCUAUCCCAAAGAAAAGGAGAUUGCAGGGUACUUUUUUGGCAAUCAGAUUUGAAAGAAGCUUGAAUUCUUUCUCUGAAAUGGUAGCUUCAUUUGCAGAGGUUCUACUGUGAUUUCUUGAGAACCCUGAUAUUGGGCGUUGAAGCUUUGGAGGCAAUGCAAUUGCUAGAAGUGGAGAAGUAUAAGAUGUGGUAAGUGCAAUCCUAACAAGUCUGAAAAUGCAAAGACUAGACAGAAUCAACACGAGAACAGUGAAGGAAAUCUCAAAAUGAAAAAUCCAAAGAAAGACAAUAUCUACUGGCGGUGAAUUGGUGGACGAAUGAAAAGUGGCUGCUGUAGAGGCUUGAAAGGAUUGAAAGGAAAGGACAUAAAUCUGAAGGAGGUUGUUCAUUUCAAUCAUUGAUUUCAGAUGGAGACUUUGAGACAUCUGUCAUCUUUUUUGGUCCGUUUGGUGGGUAUGAGUAGAGUUGAAGGUGGCUUUCAAAUGGUUGCUGGGUCAUUUCCAUCCAUUUUGACCUUCUCGAACUUCGACGUUCUCCUCUGUGCUCUCCUCCUUUUUUAAGGUGGAAAUACCCCUUUCGUUCAUUCUUCAAAAUGACUACCAAAAGAAUGAUGGCUUCAGAUCAGACCCGUGGAAGACUGGAAACUGUUCUUCAUUUUGCUGAUAAUCAGCCAAUGAAUGGUUCAUCGGUCACUACUCCCCUACUGUUACCCAUUUGAAAAAGAUCAACUGAACCACGAUGUUUUCAAAUGAUCAACUGAACCACGAUGUUUUCAAAUGAUCAACUCUCACGUUUAGGUUUGUUCUUAUGGACUACUUGCGAACAUAACGGGACUGCGUGAAUUGUUCAUGAUAUUAGGCUGACCCCAAAAUACAUUAUAUAGUUUAAGCACUUUGUAAAAAUUAUUUGAGCACAUUGUUAUAAAGUGGGUAUUCU